GCUCAGAUUGAACGCUGGCGGCAGGCCUAACACAUGCAAGUCGGACGGUAGCACAGAGGAGCUUGCUCCUCGGGUGACGAGUGGCGGACGGGUGAGUAAUGUCUGGGGAUCUGCCCGAUAGAGGGGGAUAACCACUGGAAACGGUGGCUAAUACCGCAUAACGUCGCAAGACCAAAGAGGGGGACCUUCGGGCGCUCUCCUUCGGUGGCCCCAGGGGUAUAGUAGAGGGGGUACGCCCCGUAACGGCCAAUAGGGAGAAAAAUAAUCUCUGUCGGUCAGAGAGAGGAAUGACCCCCCCCCACUGGAACUGAAACACGGUCCAGACUCCUACGGGGAGGUAGCAGUGGGGAAUAUUGCACAAUGGGCGCAAGCCUGAUGCAGCCAUGCCGCGUGUAUGAAGAAGGCCUUCGGGUUGUAAAGUACUUUCAGCGGGGAGGAAGGCAACAAGGUUACAAUAACCUUGUUGAUUGACGCUCCCCCAGAAGAAGCACCGGCUAACUCCGUGCCAGCAGCCGCGGUAAUACGGAGGGUGCAAGCGUUAAUCGGAAUUACUGGGCGUAAAGCGCACGCAGGCGGUCUGUUAAGUCAGAUGUGAAAUCCCCGGGCUUAACCUGGGAACUGCAUUUGAAACUGGCAGGCUUGAGUCUCGUAGAGGGGGGUAGAUUCCAGGUGUAGCGGUGAAUGCGUAGAGAUCUGAGGAUACCGGUGGCGAGCGCCCCUGACGAGACUGACGCUCAGUGCGAAAGCGUGGGGAGCAGGCAGGAAUAGAUACCUUGUAGUACGCGUACGAUGUCCACUUGAGGUGUCCAUGAGGAUGCUUCGGACUAACGCGUAGUCGACCGCCCCCUGAGA
RNAcentral lists this ribosomal RNA (852 nucleotides) under uncultured bacterium. Its description in RNAcentral is "bacterial SSU rRNA". It matches the Rfam family "Bacterial small subunit ribosomal RNA", at positions 22 to 873 of the family's 1533-position model. The record is from RNAcentral.